Molecule: long non-coding RNA, 7673 nt
Filed under: Populus trichocarpa (black cottonwood)
Lineage: Eukaryota; Viridiplantae; Streptophyta; Magnoliopsida; Malpighiales; Salicaceae
Description: long non-coding RNA (PTRI_LNC003158)
Source: RNAcentral
UUUCCUCUUGGGUGGAUCUCAAAAGGCGGAUAAAGAUCGUGAAAUGGCCAGCCUUCUCAAGGAUUUUGGUGACGUUGGUGAUGCCGUGUGGUGCAGCAGCCUGUGUUGGGGUUGCGACUGGAGGUUGUGCUACGACUACUGCUGGUGCCUGUGCUGGGGCUGCUGUUGGUGACUGGGCAAAGGUAUUGAUAUAACACAGGGAAAGAAGAAGCAUUGAAAAUGAGAAGAUUGAGUACUGUUGCUUCAUCUUUAAGUUUCCACGGUAUAAUGCUAGAGAUAAUUAAAAAAUGCUAACGCAAAUUGAGUUCGAUCUUAGUUGGAAGUGUUUGAUGUCUGAAGAAGAGACAGAGUGAGCUUUUAUAGAAGUGGACAGAGGAUCAAACUAGGUGCAAUGUACGAGUUUAGUUAUACAACUUGGUUGCUAGUACCUAUUUUGCUCUGAAAGGUGGAGGGUCAUCAAUGGAUGGGUUUUUUAACAAUGCUGCAGCAACUACUUGGCUUGGAAAAGAAGGAAAAAAUUUCUAAAAAGCAGAUUUCCAGUGGUGUGACAGUAAAUAAAGAUGUCCAUGAUUGUCGAAAUUAUAUUUUAGAAUCAUCACUGUCAGAACAUUUGAGGAUACUUCUUAACUUAAAAAAAAAAAUCUUCUGUCAUGGCAGAAGAUUUGGACAAGCAAUCUUAACGGAACCAUCUUUCUAUAUCUAAAACAGCUAUGGCUCCUUCAGCAUAAUAGAAUGAAUCUUUACUUCCCUGAAUCCAUGACAGACAUCGAUAGACUAACUUUCCAAAUUUACACAGAAAUCAAAUCUCACCUAGACCAUCACUUAAAACAACACAAUCAAGCAACACCUACCUUAUGUACUUGAUUUGAUGUUCGUGGCAAGCCUUCUUUCAAGGUUUAUGCAAUCUCCAGGGGAGAUGCAUUUUAGGGCAGCAAAUAUGUCCUAAUACAUGUUAGGGGAACACUGAUUUUAGAGUAUGGUUUGAAGCUACUGCAGAUGCAGAAUUGACAGCCUACACAGAUGGUGAUUGGCUCGUUCAUUUGAUGAUAUGUAGAGCACAACAUGUUAUGAGUUCAAUUUCGGUUCAGGUGCAUUUUAUUGGAUGACCAACAAGCAAAAACAAUGGCACAAACCACUGCAGAAGCAGAGUACAUAGCUGCAGCAGCUACAGUGUGAAGCAACGACAAUUGAAAUUGAUAACAACUCAGCCAUUGCAAUUGUGAAAAAUCAUGCAAGUCAUGUCAAAACCAAGCAUAUCUAAGUGAAGUUCCAUUUAGUUCAUGAUGUAUAAAAAGCUAAUGAGGCGACCUUAAUCUACUGUGAAGCAGAAAAUCAACUUGAAGAUAUAUUCGUUAAAACUCUUUCUCAAGCCAGAUUUGAAUUUGUCAGGAACAAGCUUGGAUUAUCAAGAAGUCGUCUCAAGGAGGAAUGUCAUACCAAUUUUGAUACUUUUUCUACAUACUUAGUGCAUGUUCUGUAGCAAUCUACUGAUAUUUUGUAAAAAGUAUUGCUGAAGUAAACCUGCUGAAAAUCAUGUGAGGGCAGGUCCCAGUAGUCAAGGGGUGGUGUUGUGAUCCUUGGAUGGCAUUAGGUGGAGUUUUUCUUGAAAGAAAGUUAUAGUAAUCAAAUACUUCUGCGCAUAUAUAAAUGAUAAUGUCAGAUGUGGUAGUACGAAAAAACAAACCGGUUUACAAAAUCAGCAAAGCACUAUCAGUCUUGCUAUCUAUAAUUUCUCUGCUGCAAACAUUCUUGUUGGUCACAAAACCAGCAGUUAUGAAAUUGGAGAGAACCUGAACCUGAUGUUGGCUUAAACUGGAGAAAGAUUCAUUAAGAUAAAACUUUAAAGGCUCCAUUGUAAGCGCAAUGUGCAGGUUAUUUCACAUACAGAUUGGCAAAACUUCAAGUAAAUUAGCUGUACCAUGCAGAUCCAACUUCGAGCACUCAUUUUGUAACUCAAAAUCCUUGAGAUUGCUGAGAGAACUUCCAAAAAUAAACACCACUCAAUGCAAGCAUCUGCGUAUAAUAACAAACUUUCAUGAAAAGCUGUCAUCAAGAACAAUAUAAGUAUUAUCCUACAUUUGCACAAGCAACCAUCUGCAUAUAAUAAGACAAUAGCUCACUAGUUAUACAAAAUUCACAAUGAAAUAUCUGUUUUCACCGUUGUCCUACAAAAUGAAUGAAUUAAUGUGUAGCACUAGCUUAUCUCUAGCUUCAAAACAUCAAUACUUCAAGAAGAAGGAACGAAAAGAAAAGGAUUAUCUUAAUCCUGCAGGGCAGAGCAGUAAGGUGCUUCGCAUGAGCAAGUAACCCAAAACACUAAUCUCCAAUGCUUAAUAUGCUCUUUUCUGUCCAAUAAUGAAUACUUGUUUCAAUCAAACCUGAUAAAUCCUUGAAAUACUACCUACCUAGUACCUACCUUCAAUUGAAUCAUCUCCAACAGCCCACGAUUUGGACAAGUAACCUCAACCUCAAGUGAUGCAUUCUUUUUAGUGAAGGAACUAAGCUUUAGCUCCUGAAACUUUACAGAACAGAACUUUACAUUCUUCAUUCCUUACAACCUUCAACAGAUAAUCUUUUCAAAUAUACAAACACAGAAAUCAAAUCACCCACAAAUUUGAAGAAAACAUCAUUCAAGAAACACUGACCUCAGGGACCUAAGCCCCAAAGAGGCAAUUGGUUUAUCUAACCAAAAGCUAGGAAAUAAGUAGACGACACCAGGGUUACAGUGAGGAAAAAAAAUGAAAUUUGACAGAUCAAGUAUAUAUAUUGCAACUUGAACAAGAAAUUAAAUGAAACCUCAAAAUUCCAUCUUAACCACAAGCUCAAAUCAUACAAACUGGAUUCAAAGUAAAAUCUGAAUUAUUCAAAUUUCAACAGGAAUCCAAAGUCAACAAAAUCAUGAAACAAAACCGGAACCAAGCCCAACAUAUCUCCUCUCAAGUUUCAAAACCCUUCUACAUGACAAGCAAACAUUGCAGCAGCAACUAUAACGAGUGAUCCAACAACCACAUUAUUAUGCAUAAACGUAACUGCGCUAGAUAUAUCCACAGGAGCAACAGGACUCUCUACAUUAGCAGCAGGAACCGCCUUAGUAGGUUUUUCUCGUGCAGGUGCCUGUACUGGUGCUGGAGCUGGAGCAUUGGAUCCAAAAAUGUCCUUAGGAAGUAGCACCUUCUCGAUCUUAUAAAUGGCUAGCUGGUUGUCCGUGUAAACCGUGCCAGAUAAACUUGUAUUGGUAAGUCCUGUGGUUAUGUUCACCGAGUUUGGAUAACUUGUGACAUUAAGUGGUAACCUACUACCUGUUCCAGCCCAUGUUCCAAGAGGAUUACUUACAGUCUGAAACUGGGAAGUGGAUAGGAACGUUGGAACUACGUGGAACUUCACCAACUCAGACUUGUCGCCAUCACUUAGAGUAUUGAGAGUUCCUGAUUUGAGUUCCGAAAAUGCACUAUCUGUGGGUGCAAAGAUGGUUAAACCAGUGUUGGAAUCAUUGAGCGCGGAGAACAAGUGGUUUUCCUCUUGGGUGGAUCUCAAAAGGCGGAUAAAGAUCGUGAAGUGGCCAGCCUUCUCAAGUAUUUUGGUGACGUUGGUGAUGCCGUGUGGUGCAGCAGCCUGUGUUGGGGUUGCGACUGGAGGUUGUGCUACGACUACUGCUGGUGCCUGUGCUGGGGCUGCUGUUGGUGACUGGGCAAAGGUAUUGAUAUAACAAAGGGAAAGAAGGAGCAUUGAAAAUGAGAAGAUUGAGUGCUGUUGCUUCAUCCUUAUUUUUUUGGGAUAAAAUGCUCGAAACAAUUCAAAUAUACUAAUGCAAAUUGAUCUCAAUCAUAAAGUGUUUGAUGUGUAAAGAUGAGAUAGAGUGAGGUUUUUAUAGUAGUGGACAGAGGAUCAAGUUAGGUGCAAUAUACAAUUUUAGUUAUACAACUAGAUUGCUAGUACCUUAUCUCACUCCAAAAGCUGUAGGGUCAUCAAUGGAGAGGGAAAUUUAACAAUGCUGCAGCAACUACUUUCCUUGGAAAAGCAGGCAAAAAAAAAAGGUUCUAAAAGGUAGAUUUCAAGUGGCUGUGACAACAAAUAAAGAUGUCCAUGAUUGUGAAUCAUCACUAGCAGAACAGCUGAGCAUGCUUCUUAACAUCAAAACAAAUCAUCUAUAAUGACAGAAGAUUUAGACAAGCGAUCUAAACUGACCUUUGUAUCGUAAAUAGCCAAGUCUUUGCUCUUUUAGCUUAAAAGAACGAAUAUUUACAUCCUUAAUCCUUGACAGACAUUGAUAGAUCACUAAUUUUCUAGAUUCGCACGCUCAGAAAUCAAAUCUCACACCAGACCAUCACUUAACACAACUUCAUGAAGAAACACUUACCUUAUGUACAUGAGCCCGUAGAGGUCAUGCUAUUGAUAAAAGUGAUUUUGCAGUAUGCAAACGCAAGUCUUGAAACUUUAAGAUAGCCAUUUCGAAGUAAAAGGAAUUGUGUUCUUUUACAUGAUGUUGAAUGGCAUAAUAGUCUUUUAUUCAUGGAGAGGAUGAAAGAAAAGGCAAGGAGCAGAAAAUGUCUCAGUUGGUUACUGUCAUCCCCAGUGUUUUAUUUAUAGAAGGAAACAAACAUUACAGAAAAUGAAACACUAAAGAAACGUACUAGCUAUGUUCUCCUUUAUCAAAGGAGUUAUAUAACAAGCUAGUCUAAUCCUAGAUAAGCUUAAACAAAUGAAUUGAAAGAAACAUCCUAAUCUAGAUAAUGCUAUCAGCUAACAGAUAAAUAGCUAUCAGCUAACAAAUAGAUAACAAUGCAGUAGAUUACUACAAAGUAAUCCUGUUCCAGCUUUGGUACCAAACUUCAACACUCCUCCUUGGUUCCAAAGCUACACAUUCCAAUUCUUCCUCUCAGAUCUUCAAACAUGUUUCCUGUUUCUAGUUCAACUGCUGCUUUGAAUUUAACAAACUCAGCAAACACAUAAGAUUUUGAUUUGAGGCAAGGGAUUCUGUACUAGAGCUCAAGCCUUUUAUUCAUGUUAAACGUACUAGGAUGAAUGGAUCAUGCUUCCACCAAAACCAUGAUUUUCCUCCAUAAUGCAGCAAAUCAUAGAAGGGUUUUUCUGGCAGUCGUCUGUCACAUUCAGUUUAUGAAAAUUGUGAUAUAACCUCGACAAUUUUACUGAUUGGAAUCCACUUCCUCAAGCUUAAAGUAACAAUCCUAUGCUCUCUAACACUCUCUUUUCUCUAAUUAUCAACACCAGCAGUUUUGAAACAGGAGAAAAGAACUUAACCUGAUGUGGGAUUGCUUAAACUAGAGAAAAAUUCAUUCUGAGGAAACUUAAAAGGUUCCUGUGUGAGAGCAAUACAGCAGAUUUGUUCACAUUAAGUUUAGUAGAAGUUCAAGAGAUAACCUAGUAAAGGUAGUUCUGUUUCAGAAGCCUGAUUUCUUGAUAAUUAGCAUUUUCUACUCUUUUGCAUUAUGUUCAGCCUCGCAUUCAAAUGUUGUCAGCAGAACCAUAUAUAAUCUUACAGAUUAAAGAGAACAACAUUUUGAUUCCAACCACUUCAAAAACUUGUAAUGAAAUAUUUGCUUUCACCAUUGUCCUGCAACCUCCUUUUCCUUUCUCUCUACCCUCCUUAAUGCAUGCUUUGUCUUCCCUGAUCGUCAAAUAAUCAUCUCAAUCCAAUAACUUAAGUUAUUAGAUGAGAUUCCAAGAUAUGAUUUAUAUCAUUCUCUAACACACACCCCUCAAGUAAAAGUCAAUUAAGCUUGAAACUUGCACAUGCCCACACUAUCUUGUGCUUAAUUUUUAUCAAAUAAAUAGGGAUGGUGAGAUUCAAACUCAUGACUGUUUGGUCAUUAAAGUUCUGAUACCAUGUCAAAGAAUCAUCUCAUCUCAAUAGCUUAAGAUGUUAGGUAAGGUUCUAAGAUAUGAUUUAUAUUAUUCUCUAACACACCUCUUCAAGUGAAAGCCCUUUAGGCUUAAAACUUGUACAGGUCCGCACUACCUUGUACUUAAUUUUUAUCAAAUAAAUAGGGAUGGUGAGAUUUCAAGAUAUAAUUUAUAUAUUAUUCUCUAACAUAUCACUUCAAGUGAAAGGCCUUUGAACUUGAAACUUGCAUAGAUCCAUACUACCUUGUGCUUAAUUUUUAUCAAAUAAAUAGGGAUGGUGGGAUUCGAACUCAUGAUCGUUUGGUCAUCAAGACUCUGAUAUCAUGUCAAAGAACCAACUCAACUUAAUAACUUAAAUUGUUAAGUGAGGUUCUAAAAUUUUGAUUUAUAUUAUUCUCUAAUAAUAUCGUGAUAGUUUGCCCCGUGCUCACCCUUAUUAGCCGACAUCCCCAUAUCUCUGCAUCAGAAAAAUCUUCUUUCUGAGGGAAGUAAUCCGAUAAACCUUCCUCCAGAUCCAGUAAGUUAAUGUUCAAUAAAAAAACAUAGCAACAACUAGCAAGCAAAAACUACAACCUCUUAAUAUGACAUCUCAGCCGAAAAAUCUCCGAAACCUCCAAAAAUCUCACUCCAUUUACUCCUCCGAUAACUAGACUUCCAAGAAAUAGAACCACCAACACAACCACUAUUAUCUAAGAAACAGUUAGGGCAUGAUUCGAUGACACCAGGGUGAUCAUAAAAAAACAACAAAUGAAGUUUGACUAAUCAAGUACAUGUUUAGCAAUUUGAUCAAGAAAUUAAAUAAAACCUCGAAACCAUAACCUAAAAUCAUACAAACUGGAUUCAAAGUAAAAUCAGAAUUAUUCAACACACACCAAGCUUUCAAUCCAACUCAGAAAAUUUAGACGCUGCCGGACCCAACCCAGCUUAUCUCAUCUCGAGAUUCAAACCCUUUUACAUUAUAAAGCAAAGAUUGCAGCAGCAACUGCACCAACUGAUCCAACCACGUUAUUACGCGUGAACAUGACUGCGCCAGAUAUAUCCACUGGAGCAACAGGACUCUCAACAUUAGCUGCAGGAACUGCCUUAGUAGGCUUUUCUGGUGCGGGUGCUACUGGUGCUGGAGCUGGGGCCUUAGAAGCAAAAAUGUCCUUAGGAAGUAGCACCUUCUCAAUCUUAUAAAUGGCUAGCUGGUUGUCCGUGUAUACCGUGCCAGAUAAACUUGUAUUGGUAAGUCCUGUGGUUAUGUUCACCGAGUUUGGAUAACUUGUUACGUUAAGUGGUAACCUACUACCUGUUCCAGCCCAUGUUCCAAGAGGAUUACUUACAGUCUGAAACUGGGAAGUGGAUAGGAAUGUUGGAACUACGUGGAACUUCACCAACUCAGACUUGUCACCAUCACUUAGAGUAUUGAGAGUUCCUGAUUUGAGUUCCGAAAAUGCACUAUCUGUGGGUGCAAAGAUGGUUACACCAGAGCUUGAAUCAUUAAGCGCGGAGAACAAGUGGUUUUCCUCUUGGGUGGAUCUCAAAAGGCGGAUAAAGAUCGUGAAGUGGCCAGCCUUCUCAAGGAUUUUGGUGACGUUGGUGAUGCCGUGUGGAGCAGCUGCCUGUGUUGGAGUUGCGGCUGGGGGUUGUGCUACGACUACUGCUGGUGCCUGCGCUGGGGCUGCUGCUGGUGACUGGGCAAAGGUAUUGGUAUAGUGGAGGAAAAGAAGGAAAACUGAAAUGGAGGAGAUUGAGUACUGUUGCUUCAUCUUUAAGUUUCCAGGCUAUUCUACUAGAAACUAUAAAAAAAAUGCUUAUGUAAAUUGAGC